CCAGAAGCAAAGGAUUGGCAGCACCCAACAGAGCUAGGGAUAGAGCAACUCCUCCAGGCACUGUAACUGACAGGACCGGUUUCACACAAAAACCGAACAGGUGCCAACAUACCGUGAUAAUGGGCACAGUGUAAACACACUGAAAUUAAAUGCUUUCUGGAGCAUCACACAGCACAGAGGGCCUUUCUUUCUGAUGUGUUGGUGAAAGGCACCGUUGGACAGAGUCCCCUGCACAACCCGCACGUGCAACGAAGACCAAAGUAGCACCAGCCUCCUGCACUCUGACCCAAUGUGAC
This 296-nucleotide long non-coding RNA is filed under the name Gopherus agassizii (Agassiz's desert tortoise). Its description in RNAcentral is "lncRNA (ENSGAGG00000011089.1)". The record is from RNAcentral. Lineage: Eukaryota; Metazoa; Chordata; Testudines; Testudinidae.